CCUACGGGAGGCAGCAGUGGGGAAUUUUGGACAAUGGGGGCAACCCUGAUCCAGCCAUGCCGCGUGCGGGAAGAAGGCCUUCGGGUUGUAAACCGCUUUUGUCAGGGAAGAAAUCCUUUGAACUAAUACUUCGGAGGGAUGACGGUACCUGAAGAAUAAGCACCGGCUAACUACGUGCCAGCAGCCGCGGUAAUACGUAGGGUGCAAGCGUUAAUCGGAAUUACUGGGCGUAAAGCGUGCGCAGGCGGUUAUGCAAGACAGAUGUGAAAUCCCCGGGCUCAACCUGGGAACUGCAUUUGUGACUGCAUAGCUAGAGUACGGUAGAGGGGGAUGGAAUUCCACGUGUAGCAGUGAAAUGCGUAGAUAUGUGGAGGAACACCGAUGGCGAAGGCAAUCCCCUGGACCUGUACUGACGCUCAUGCACGAAAGCGUGGGGAGCAAACAGGAUUAGAUACCCUGGUAGUCCACGCCCUAAACGAUGUCAACUGGUUGUUGGGAGGGUUUCUUCUCAGUAACGUAGCUAACGCGUGAAGUUGACCGCCUGGGGAUACGGCCGCAAGGUUGAACUCAAUGAAUUGACGGCUGAGAGNGCGAGACGACGACGAGGGAGGAGG
Molecule: ribosomal RNA, 614 nt
Filed under: uncultured bacterium
Lineage: Bacteria
Description: bacterial SSU rRNA
Rfam family: Bacterial small subunit ribosomal RNA
Source: RNAcentral